UAUAUAUAUUAUAUGUUUCAAAUUCUAUGAUAUUUUGUUAUAUUGGGUAUGAAAAAAUUAACUUCAUCUUAGCUUCCAAAUGGAUCUUAUUAGUUUGAAUGCCUAGUGACCUCUGAAAUUAUCUUAACGUGAUCUUUUGUAGCUUUGAGAAACCUUUAUGUAUCCCUCACGAAAAAAAAAAAAAAAAAAAAAAAACUUUAUGUAGAGCCCCCAUGCCUCUAUCAUGUUAUGAUAUAUAUAUAGUGGAACACCCUACUAAAGGUUGUAAAGCACUUUCUUUCUUCUGUAUUGUCUGCGUUGCUUUAAUUCAAUUCGAUUGCCUUCUUUUCCAACCCCCUCUUUUACUCCUUUGUGUUGCUUAACCCUAUUUACCUCACUUAUAGCUUCUUCUUCCUUUCUUCUUUUGGCAUUCUUUGUUUCUUCUAUAAACACUUGGUGAUUUUCUUUAGGGAAAAAUAUAGCCAUGAGAAAAUCCUCUUUUUGCUCUUUUGUUGAUGCAGGUACUCAUUCCAAUGCAUCUUGGACUUGGAAGAAUAUUUUAGAAGAUCGAUAAUGUUGAAAAUUAAUUCGAAUUUUGUGAUGUUUGAUUUAGUCAUAUAUUUGAUUUAGUUAUAUGCAAACUGCUUUUUUAGUUCAGUAAUUUACUCUUUUUAGCUUUAGAUCAUGUUCUUGUUGGUGCAAAUAAUAUCUCCAUUUGAAGGCAUGUUAAGUGAUUAAAUGAUAAAUGAGUUUUGACACACCAAAAGUAUCAAUUUAUAUUGCUUUUAUUUCUGCAUUGUUUCUAUUAUGACACCCUAGUUCUUUUGUAAUUUUUAUCAAAAAACCCAACGGAUAAGUGCUAUCAAGGGGCUGCGAUGGCAGGUUCGUGAUAGAAAGUCCAUCUUCAUAUGGCACGAUCCUGGCCCCCUUGUUGCUUCCCUUAAGACGACCUCUCAGCCCCGAGAUGGUAAGAUGUUCCCUUGGUUCAACAACUCUUUUUCAGCGAGGAGCCAAGAUGAUUCUUCAAAUUCCUGUAUGGGUUACUACUUACCAGAGCUUCUGACAAGUGGACUCGGCAUUUCUCUUCUCAUGGAAAUUAUAUGGCAAAAUCAGGGUAUUUAAUUGCUAAAUCUGUCUAAGAGUUUAGAUAUUCAAGCAGAAACCAUGUAUUUAACAGUCUCAAAGGAGCAAGGCUGUUGGAACCAGCUUUGGAGCUUUAAAUUGCCUCCGAAAUUAUUAUUUUCCUUUGGAUAGUGCUUGUUAAUGGGUUGCUAACGUGAUACAAAUUACAACCCAGGUUCAACGAAGCAUAUCUUUUUUCAUUGUCAUUUUGCUAGAAUUAUAUUGUAUGGCUUAUGUCUCCCUUUGAAUUGAGGUCAGACCUUCUAGAAGAUAAUUCUUUCCAAGAUUA
Long non-coding RNA from Ricinus communis (castor bean), 1390 nucleotides. RefSeq lists it as uncharacterized. Lineage: Eukaryota; Viridiplantae; Streptophyta; Magnoliopsida; Malpighiales; Euphorbiaceae. The transcript has 2 exons. The record is from RefSeq and is a predicted model, not a curated record.